Camelina sativa (false flax) is the source of this 920-nucleotide non-coding RNA. Lineage: Eukaryota; Viridiplantae; Streptophyta; Magnoliopsida; Brassicales; Brassicaceae. The record is from RefSeq and is a predicted model, not a curated record.
UCUUCUUCUUCUUCUUCAAAGCUUCUUCUCGUUUCUCAACCCAGAAAACACAGAGCAAUCAAAACCGAAAUAAAAAAAUCAUGGGUUUUUUCGUUUUUAUGCAUUUCUAACUGGAUUAAAAUCACUCAUCAGUCUCAAGUCUCAACGAAUCCCAAAUCCUUCACCGAUUUCAUCAAUUUCGAUUUGAAAUUUUUUCUGCAACUCCAUAAGAGGAUUCGUGAAGAUAUUUAGGAUCAAUUUUUCAGUUUUCGUGAAUCUCAAAUUUUAGAGAAAUUUGAAAUUUAAGGUGUAGAUAUGUCUAAGACUGAUUCUCAAGUUUCACAUAAUGAAGAUUCCUUAGCUCCACCUCCUCUUGGACCAGAAUUAGUUAGUGGGAAAUGGAGAGUUCGUGUGAUAGAUGGUGAUGGAAACAUUACAGAUGAAAGGAUUUCAGGAAAAGAAGUGUGGAGCAUGCUACAUCGACGAGUUAUAGUUGAUUUCUUAGAAGAGGACAACCUAUAAAAGAUUCUGGAGGUUUGUUUGGUUCGUGGUUAGGCUCUGAUGAGUGUGCGAGUGUAGAUGAUAAAGAUGAAGUCGUUGGGGUUGAUAGUGGGCUUCAGUCAAGAAGACAGUCCACGAGAGUCAAGAAGCCCAACAGGAAAUAUUUGGAUUAAGCAAGACUUAGUGGCUCUGCUUUACGGUUAUGCAAAUAAGUGGAAUCGCUCUUCCUACUUAUUAGGAUCCAUUUCACCUCUUUCCCUGUAAUUCCUGAAUUGUAGGAGUUGUGAUCACUCCAUUUUCCCUUUUGUUGUUUUCAGUAUUUAAGAAACAGAAAAGCCAAAAAGAGGCAAUAUCAAUUGCCCAAAAUCCAGGCUCUGAUUGGUAGCCUACUUUUAAGACUUUAAAAUUUUUUAAAUCCAUGACAGCCAUUUUUUUACUAA